Molecule: signal recognition particle RNA, 285 nt
Filed under: Carlito syrichta (Philippine tarsier)
Lineage: Eukaryota; Metazoa; Chordata; Mammalia; Primates; Tarsiidae
Description: Metazoan signal recognition particle RNA (ENSTSYG00000033090.1)
Rfam family: Metazoan signal recognition particle RNA
About the family: The signal recognition particle (SRP) is a universally conserved ribonucleoprotein. It is involved in the co-translational targeting of proteins to membranes.
Source: RNAcentral
GCUUGCUGCCCACACCAGUUCCAACUAUUUGGGAAGCUGAGGCAGGAAUAUCACUUGAGUCCAGGAGUUCUGGGCUGUUGUGCACUGUGACCAUCGUGUCCACAGUGAGUUUGGCAUCACUAUGGUGACUUCCCGAGAGUAGGGGACUACCAGGUUGCUUAAGGAGGGGUGACCCAGCCCAGGUCAGAAAUGGAGGAGGUCAAAACUCAUGCUAAUCAGUAGUGAGAUUGUGCUGUGAAAGGUUACUGCACUCCAGCCUGAGCAACAUGGUGAGACUCUGUCUCU